GAUUAACAUAAAAAUAAAGAAAAUAUCAAGAAUGGUAAUAAACAGAAAACAUUUUGUUCUCCACAAGGAAAAUAACUAUGAAAAAUUUAUAUGAUUUGAAUGGGAUUUUGGUAAAGAUAGGAGAAGGAGAAGAAAAGAAGAUGAGUUUAUUGCUAGAAAGAACAAAGGUUGAUUAAAGAGACCUGGAAAUUGGAAUUUGAGUGAGGAGGAGAUGAGGGUAAAGGUAGGGUUUUUAUACCCUUGUUUGGAAUGUAAAAUUUU
Molecule: unclassified non-coding RNA, 261 nt
Filed under: Hevea brasiliensis (rubber tree)
Lineage: Eukaryota; Viridiplantae; Streptophyta; Magnoliopsida; Malpighiales; Euphorbiaceae
Source: RNAcentral